GACGAACGCUGGCGGCGUGCUUAACACAUGCAAGUCGAGCGGUAAGGCCCUUUCGGGGGUACACGAGCGGCGAACGGGUGAGUAACACGUGGGUGACCUGCCCUCAGCUCUGGGAUAAGCCUGGGAAACUGGGUCUAAUACUGGAUAUGACUCCACGGUGCAUGUCGUGGGGUGGAAAGCCUUGUGCGGCUGAGGAUGGGCCCGCGGCCUAUCAGCUUGUUGGUGGGGUGANGGCCUACCAAGGCGACGACGGGUAGCCGGCCUGAGAGGGCGACCGGCCACACUGGGACUGAGACACGGCCCAGACUCCUACGGGAGGCAGCAGUGGGGAAUCUUGCGCAAGUGGGCGAAAGCCUGACGCAGCGACGCCGCGUGAGGGAUGACGGCC
RNAcentral lists this ribosomal RNA (388 nucleotides) under uncultured bacterium. Its description in RNAcentral is "bacterial SSU rRNA". It matches the Rfam family "Bacterial small subunit ribosomal RNA", at positions 28 to 416 of the family's 1533-position model. The record is from RNAcentral.